GGACAUUAGUAAACUGUAUAAUAAGGAAAUCAUCAAUAAUACGAAAGUAUGAUUAGUAACAAAGCCAGUGAACAGGGCGGCAUGUUGUGGAGGCAGUUUGACGGACGGCGCCGGACGGAGUAAAAUUUUUUCUACAGUUAAUAAUUGAGAUGAAUUGUUUCCGGAAUUUAACGGAACAGGAAAUGACCUUUCAUUUGGCCAAGCUUUUGAACAUCAAAGAGCAAGAGAUCCAACACGACAGGGAUUAUUUAAUCUGUUAUACUAGGGAACAAGCGUUGCGUAUUAUGGCGGAGGGUCUGAAUCCGGUGGCACCACAUCCCGAUCAGGACUUUGGACAUUCGUUUGUUAAUGAAAUCGGAGUCAGACUGGAUCCACCAAUGACACAGGAGCGGAAAAAGAAGCUCUUUAGCUGAAUGAAAGUCGUUACUGGGAAUAUUUCGCUUUUUGGAAAUGACUGGCGGUUUAUAAUCCGAGCAGCAUACUGUCUCAUAUCGGAAUCGUUGGAAUUACUGAACCUUCUGAGAGCUAUCGCAUCUCAUGCAGUUGAAGUGGGUAUCAAGAGUGGCCACCGGCUUACGCACACAGUUCUGAAACGUAUAGUCACCAUUCCGAGCGGAAAAACGUGGAAAGAUUUAACAAUCAACUGGCAUGCGGCCAUUGUCGCCGGCAACAUUAACGGGAUUCCCGAUGGACGAAAGCGCCAGCCUCGUCAGUCAGCAACGCCAGCGACCAAAAUAUUGAACACAAGCAAGCACCACAAGUAGUCG
Molecule: long non-coding RNA, 767 nt
Organism: Paramacrobiotus metropolitanus
Lineage: Eukaryota; Metazoa; Tardigrada; Eutardigrada; Parachela; Macrobiotidae
Exons: 3
Source: RefSeq, a predicted model, not a curated record